AGGGUGGGGGUGGGGGGGUGGGGGGGGAAGAGAAGAAGAAGAGGAAGAAGGAAGAUGUAGUGUCUAUUCUUCAAGUAUAAGUUUUCGAUUUCUCCUUCUGCUCAAAAGGUAAUGACGUGGAAGUUUAGAGAUGCCCAUUAAUUUAGCCAGACUUUUAUCCAUGGAGCACAGCCGAAUUGAGCAGCUUUGGAGCCUGUCGAACCACCGAUUUGAGCCACUCGUCAUAGGCUGUAUGACAUCCUUUAUCAGAUUAUACAUUAUGUGUUUUUUUGGGAUACAUGUAGUUUAAAUAAGAAAAGUUCAUUAUGGGCUCAUUAAAUAUAUGGUAUUUUUAGUAUAUUUAAGGAUUAUUGGUUAUAGAGCAAGUAAAUGUUGAUUUGCCAACAUUUGAUUUGAAUAGUUUAUAUUUUGAAGAACUGUCUUACCCUAUUCAUAUUAUAAAUAUUGGUUUGAGGAAAAUUGGUUAUUGUUCA
Olea europaea var. sylvestris is the source of this 473-nucleotide long non-coding RNA. RefSeq lists it as uncharacterized. The record is from RefSeq and is a predicted model, not a curated record. The transcript has 3 exons. NCBI's taxonomy places the organism in Eukaryota, Viridiplantae, Streptophyta, Magnoliopsida, Lamiales, Oleaceae.